GAUGAACGCUAGCGGGAGGCCUAACACAUGCAAGCCGAGCGGUAUUUGUUCUUCGGAACAGAGAGAGCGGCGCACGGGUGCGGAACACGUGUGCAACCUGCCUUUAUCUGGGGGAUAGCCUUUCGAAAGGAAGAUUAAUACCCCAUAAUAUAUUGAGUGGCAGCAUUUGAUAUCGAAAACUCCGGUGGAUAGAGAUGGGCACGCGCAAGAUUAGAUAGUUGGUGAGGUAACGGCUCACCAAGUCACUGAUCUAUAGGGGGCCUGAGAGGGUGAUCCCCCACACUGGUACUGCGGCCCGGACCCGACUCCUACGCGGGGCAGCGGUGUGGAGUAUUGUGCACUGGGUUAGCGCCUGAUCCAGCCAUCCCGCGUGAAGGACGACGGCCCUAUGGGUUGUAAUCUUCUUUUGUAUAGGGAUAAACCUACUCUCGUGAGAGUAGCUGACGGUACUAUACGAAUAAGCACCGGCUAACUCCGUG
This 479-nucleotide ribosomal RNA is filed under the name uncultured bacterium. Its description in RNAcentral is "partial 16S ribosomal RNA". It matches the Rfam family "Bacterial small subunit ribosomal RNA", at positions 28 to 507 of the family's 1533-position model. The record is from RNAcentral.